GAUGAACGCUGGCGGCGUGCCUAAUACAUGCAAGUCGAGCGAACGGACGAGAAGCUUGCUUCUCUGAUGUUAGCGGCGGACGGGUGAGUAACACGUGGAUAACCUACCUUUAAGACUGGGAUAACUUCGGGAAACCGGAGCUAAUACCGGAUGAUAUUUUGAACCGCAUGGUUCAAAAGUGAACGACGGUCUUGCUGUCACUUAUAGAUGGAUCCGCGCUGCAUUAGCUAGUUGGUACGGUAACGGCUUACCAAGGCAACGAUGCAUAGCCGACCUGAGAGGGUGAUCGGCCACACUGGAACUGAGACACGGUCCAGACUCCUACGGGAGGCAGCAGUAGGGAAUCUUGCGCAAUGGGCGAAAGCCUGAUGGAGCAACGCCGCGUGAGUGAUGAAGGUCUUCGGAUCGUAAAGCUCUGUUAGUAGGGAAGAACAUAUGUGUAAGUAUCUGUGCACAUCUUGACGGUACCUAAACAGAAAGCAACGGCUAACUACGUG
Molecule: ribosomal RNA, 497 nt
Filed under: uncultured bacterium
Lineage: Bacteria
Description: partial 16S ribosomal RNA
Rfam family: Bacterial small subunit ribosomal RNA
Source: RNAcentral